RNAcentral lists this unclassified non-coding RNA (229 nucleotides) under Hevea brasiliensis (rubber tree). The record is from RNAcentral. Lineage: Eukaryota; Viridiplantae; Streptophyta; Magnoliopsida; Malpighiales; Euphorbiaceae.
GAGGAAUUCAACUCCAUUUCCAAUUGAUUUCGUGAGGGUUGGUUUUGGAAAUGAUGCAGUGAAGGGCUCAAAAUCCAAUUCAAGAACAAAGUUAUCACUGGAAGUUCCGUUAACAAGUUCUUCCUUGAAUUGCAAAAACUCAGGCACAGUCAGCUCCUCAACACUAAGAGCAUUAACAUUCACACGGACAUAUUCCCACACACCGGGCCUCAAACGAAUAGCAAGUGCA